This 71-nucleotide transfer RNA is filed under the name Candidatus Kaiserbacteria bacterium. RNAcentral's name for it is "tRNA-Gln". It matches the Rfam family "tRNA". From Rfam's summary of the family: Transfer RNA (tRNA) molecules are approximately 80 nucleotides in length. The record is from RNAcentral. Lineage: Bacteria; Candidatus Kaiseribacteriota. RNAcentral also lists the same sequence under 1 other name.
UGGCGGAUCGUCUAACGGUAGGACGUUUGGUUUUGGUCCAAAAAAUCGGGGUUCGAUUCCCUGUCCGCCAG